GGCCUCCAGGUGUUUUGGGCUUCAGCUCCCACAGUUACUAACAGCUGGUAACCUGGCUGGAAUUUCUGGGAGUUGGAAGUUCAAAACACCUGGAGGCCAAAAGGUUGGGAACCACUGCAUUAAGGGAUGUAUUUAUGUUCUUGGAACAGCUGGUUUACCAUAGAUAUGCCUAACACAGCUCAGUGCUUUGAUGAUGCUGUUGUUUUUUCAAAACAAUAUCAAUUAAACUUCUGGAAGAAAGAAGUCUGGGUGUUUUCUCCUUAAGCGAAUCCUUGUUUGGCCAUCGAUGGUGGAUUCCGUGGAUAUAGAGGGACAACUGUAAAUAGUACUAACAAGAACUGCAGCUUCAGAACUUCAUUCCAUAAUCUGUGCAUAGUAGCAAUCGCAAGAUAGAUGUCACAGCACCAGCUCAGAAUACCUUCCUACAGGCUCACCAUGAGUUGAAGUUCAAGUAACAGACAGGAAUGGGGCUUGUUUUGCCAAGGAUGGUUCUAUCUCCCUUAUGUGCCAAAAUAACCUGGCUGGUUUUGGGUACUGUGUGUUUUGACUUACCGUAGGGGAACAGCAAGUGAGAGGGCAUUGGUUGUUUCACCUCAAACAGCAAGAUGUCUCAAGUCAGCCUGGAUGUGCGUCUACUUUAGAGGUUCAAAAAUUGCAGCUGUGUCUUCAAUUUGGCUCUUUGUGAUAUUUAUUGUGAAGGCACCAUUCAUCUCAAGAAGCCCUAUUCUGAAUAACUGGGCCAUGAAAGAAUCUAAGCAACUAUCAGCUGGGUGCAAUUAAAAAGGAAUAGGGACCUUUCCCAUAUUUCAAAAGCACUUAAACCAAAAUUAACUGCAAGAACGUCACUUUGUACAUUUUGUUGUGCUUGAAUUCAGUUUUCUGAGUGUGUAUAUUUACAUAAGUAUCUCAUUUCUCAGGUCCAAAUGAUCCUGCAACGGGAAAGGCAAAUGAGCCACCCACUGUGUCAUUAUUUAGAGGAAUAAAAGCAGUGUUUGUGCUAACAUACAGACCAUGAAAGAGAAGAGUUAACAGGCUCCACGUUACCUGAGAUCCUUCAACUAUAGUUCUCUCUUGAUGCUUUCAAAAGGAUUAACCUCUGAUCAUUACAAGAGAAAACACCAAGCUUUGUAUCCCAUGGAGAUUGGAUGCAGCCAAACCUGCAGCUGCAGAUUAGCCAUUCAGUAACUCUACACUCUUGGAAGCAUGGAGUAUCACUUGCACAUUCCUUCUGACAAACUGCUCAUUAUUGUCUAUUCAGGUUCAUGGGCUACUGAAUAUAAUACAGCAUGCUACAAUUAUUUAAUUAAUUUUGUCAUUUUUACAUUUCACCCGAACUUAUUUAUGAGUGGUUUAUCAAAACAUAUGUCUAUUUCCAUCACAUUAAUUUAUAAGCACGGUACAGCUUUUAGUGGAAUCAGUGGCUUUAAACACACUAUUGCCUUACCAAGAGUAAAAUCUGUUAAAAUCAAUGGGUCUUAAGUUACUUAUUGUUGAAAUAACCCAUUUGUUUCAAAAGUAGUGUAACAAUGGAUUUAACCCAUUACGAAUUUGCAUUGACAGAUGCAAUUGUUAAGACACAUGGUAACUAGGAUAUAUCUGUGCAUUAAACCACAUUUUAAAAUU
Molecule: long non-coding RNA, 1623 nt
Organism: Anolis carolinensis (green anole)
Lineage: Eukaryota; Metazoa; Chordata; Lepidosauria; Squamata; Anolidae
Exons: 3
Source: RefSeq, a predicted model, not a curated record